CCCGCGCGCCACAGGCUCCUCCCCCUACGGGCGGAGCUACUGGUGAACUGUAGCCCCAACUGUGGGUGGGGCUGGACUGGGGGACAGUGCUCUGGGCGGAGCUAUGGCUGGCCUCUGGGCGGGGCAGUGGGCGGAGCGACAACGGCGCGGGUCUUGGGGAGUCUGUAUGUUCAUGUCCUGACGCUGGGUGGCGCUGUUGUGCGGUCCCGAUUCUGGACGAACAAAGACAGGAGUGUGGCCCUAAUCUCUGCAUGUCUUCCUGAAGCUCACCUGUAGCCUGAGAUAGAGUGGGGGGAAUACGUUUGCUUCCCUAGUAAAAUGAGACAGGCAGAUAACGAAGCGGGCAAAACUCGCAAUUAUGUAAGGGUCAGUCGGUUUUCCGGUGACACAAGCUGAGACUGAAGUGAGCCCCUAGAGAUCUUGUUCAAUCUAGAGAUCAGAUUUAACACUUGGACCCCUAACAUAACCCUUUCGGGGUGUUGUUCCUUUUAACAACCUCAGAAUAAUCCACAAAGGCAUGCGAUCUUAUGUACAAUAUGGAGGAACUAUAGACUCGAGUUAAGACAUCCUGGUUUAGUUCUUCUCGAGUUACCUACACCAACCAACCUGUUCCAGAGAAACUGUUUCUGCAGUGGGCCCUCCAUUGUCAAGUUUCCCUGCCAUCAGAGGUGACCGAUCCAUCAUCUGUUUUUCAGAACAGUAGAUCCACUAACUGGCCAGAGACUGUUGACUGGUUUGUUUGUUUAUUCACUUUUGUGUUUAUUAAAUAUGGUCUCACGUA
Molecule: long non-coding RNA, 781 nt
Organism: Peromyscus eremicus (cactus mouse)
Lineage: Eukaryota; Metazoa; Chordata; Mammalia; Rodentia; Cricetidae
Exons: 2
Source: RefSeq, a predicted model, not a curated record